UACGAAGGGGGCUAGCGUUGCUCGGAAUUACUGGGCGUAAAGCGCACGUAGGCGGCUUCUUAAGUCGGUGGUGAAAUCCUGGAGCUCAACUCCAGAACUGCCUUCGAUACUGGGAAGCUCGAGUCCGGAAGAGGUGAGUGGAAUUCCUAGUGUAGAGGUGAAAUUCGUAGAUAUUAGGAAGAACACCAGUGGCGAAGGCGGCUCACUGGUCCGGUACUGACGCUGAGGUGCGAAAGCGUGGGGAGCAAACAGG
RNAcentral lists this ribosomal RNA (253 nucleotides) under uncultured bacterium. RNAcentral describes it as "partial 16S ribosomal RNA". It matches the Rfam family "Bacterial small subunit ribosomal RNA", at positions 524 to 776 of the family's 1533-position model. The record is from RNAcentral.